RNAcentral lists this ribosomal RNA (1116 nucleotides) under uncultured fungus. Its description in RNAcentral is "eukaryotic LSU rRNA". The stretch from base 495 to 1116 matches the Rfam family "Eukaryotic large subunit ribosomal RNA", at positions 1 to 649 of the family's 3401-position model. The record is from RNAcentral. Lineage: Eukaryota; Fungi.
AAGUCGUAACAAGGUCUCCGUAGGUGAACCUGCGGAGGGAUCAUUACUGAGUUCGCCGGUUCAAAGCCCGAUCUCCAACCCUUUGUGAACACAUCUUGUUGCUUCGGGGGCGACCCUGCCGUCCGCGGCAUUCCCCCCGGAGGUCAUCAAAACACUGCAUCCUUACGUCGGAGUAAAAAGUUAAUUUAAUAAAACUUUCAACAACGGAUCUCUUGGUUCUGGCAUCGAUGAAGAACGCAGCGAAAUGCGAUAAGUAAUGUGAAUUGCAGAAUUCAGUGAAUCAUCGAAUCUUUGAACGCACAUUGCGCCCCCUGGUAUUCCGGGGGGCAUGCCUGUUCGAGCGUCAUUUCACCACUCAAGCCUCGCUUGGUAUUGGGCGUCGCGAGUCCCUCGCGCGCCUCAAAGUCUCCGGCUGAGCGGUUCGUCUCCCAGCGUUGUGGCAACUAUUUCGCAGUGGAGUUCGAGUCGUCGCGGCCGUUAAAUCUUUUAAAGGUUGACCUCGGAUCAGGUAGGGAUACCCGCUGAACUUAAGCAUAUCAAUAAGCGGAGGAAAAGAAACCAACAGGGAUUGCCCUAGUAACGGCGAGUGAAGCGGCAACAGCUCAAAUUUGAAAUCUGGCGCAAGCCCGAGUUGUAAUUUGUAGAGGAUGCUUCUAGGUAGCGACCGGUCUAAGUUCCUUGGAACAGGACGUCAUAGAGGGUGAGAAUCCCGUAUGUGACCGGCCCGCACCUUCUACGUAGCUCCUUCGACGAGUCGAGUUGUUUGGGAAUGCAGCUCUAAAUGGGAGGUAAAUUUCUUCUAAAGCUAAAUACCGGCCAGAGACCGAUAGCGCACAAGUAGAGUGAUCGAAAGAUGAAAAGCACUUUGGAAAGAGAGUUAAAAAGCACGUGAAAUUGUUGAAAGGGAAGCGCUCACAACCAGACUUCUGGGCGGUGUUCCGCCGGUCUUCUGACCGGUCUACUCGCCGUCCCGAGGCCAACAUCAUCUGGGACCGCCGGAUAAGACCUUAGGAAUGUAGCUCCCCUCGGGGAGUGUUAUAGCCUGUGGUGAUGCGGCGCGUCUCGGGUGAGGUCCGCGCUUCGGCAAGGAUGUUGGCGUAAUGGUUGUCAGCGGCC